RNAcentral lists this ribosomal RNA (253 nucleotides) under uncultured bacterium. RNAcentral describes it as "partial 16S ribosomal RNA". It matches the Rfam family "Bacterial small subunit ribosomal RNA", at positions 524 to 776 of the family's 1533-position model. The record is from RNAcentral.
UACGUAGGUGGCAAGCGUUGUCCGGAUUUAUUGGGUUUAAAGGGUGCGUAGGCGGUUCCUUAAGUCAGUGGUGAAAUACUUCAGCUCAACUGGAGAGGUGCCAUUGAUACUGGGGAACUUGAGUACUGAUGAGGUAGGCGGAAUGGACGGUGUAGCGGUGAAAUGCUUAGAUAUCGUCCAGAACACCGAUAGCGAAGGCAGCUGGCUACACGAAUAUUGACACUGAUGCACGAAAGCGUGGGGAUCAAACAGG